CGAGACAGCGGUAGCGGAGUUUCUACUUCCGGGCCGGGACUGGCAGAGAGACGAAGAGAGUUCCAGUCGUCGAAUUGUAUCGAUCAAGAGGAAAACAGAGGAGGAGAAGAAAAGGAUUAAAAUAGCAUUGAUUUGCACUUGUUAUCGAACCAACAACGAUAACAGCAAGCCCUUAUGCAGCAAGCUUUGCUUCAACAGCAUCACAUGUACCACCCAGGCGUACUUGCUGCUGCCAUGUCUCAGGUGGAGCCGAUCCCUAGUGGAAAUCUUCCUCCUGGUUUUGAUUCGUCUACUUGCCGCAGUGUUUAUGUAGGAAAUAUUCAUGUAAAUGUCACUGAGAAACUUCUUGCUGAAGUUUUCCAGACUGCUGGUCCUCUUGCAGGAUGCAAGCUCAUCAGAAAGGAUAAGUCAUCAUAUGGUUUUUUGGACUACCAUGAUCGAUCAUCUGCAGCGCUCGCAAUAAUGACACUCCAUGGACGGCAACUGUACGGUCAGGCACUUAAGGUGAAUUGGGCAUAUGCAAAUAGCCAAAGGGAGGAUACAUCAGGCCACUUCCAUAUAUUUGUUGGUGAUUUGAGUCCAGAGGUUACUGAUGCAACUUUAUUUGCAUGCUUCUCGGUCUAUGAUAGUUGCUCUGAUGCAAGGGUGAUGUGGGAUCAUAAAAGUGGCCGCACAAAAGGAUAUGGCUUUGUUUCCUUCCGUAAUCAACAGGAUGCACAGAGUGCUAUCAAUGACUUGACUGGUAAAUGGCUAGGGAAUAGGCAAAUAAGAUGCAACUGGGCAACUAAAGGCUCUGGGUCCAGUGAAGACAAGCAAAUUGGUGAUAACCAAAAUGCAGUUGUACUUACCAGUGGAUCUUCAGAAGGAGGUCAAGAAAAUACUAAUGAGGAUG
Molecule: unclassified non-coding RNA, 892 nt
Filed under: Hevea brasiliensis (rubber tree)
Lineage: Eukaryota; Viridiplantae; Streptophyta; Magnoliopsida; Malpighiales; Euphorbiaceae
Source: RNAcentral